Auraticoccus monumenti is the source of this 43-nucleotide regulatory RNA element. It matches the Rfam family "L31-Actinobacteria ribosomal protein leader". The record is from Rfam. NCBI's taxonomy places the organism in Bacteria, Bacillati, Actinomycetota, Actinomycetes, Propionibacteriales, Propionibacteriaceae.
CUGGUGCCGGUUCACGUCCUGUGUCGCAGGGCGACCCGGCGCC